GCUAACUUCGUGCCAGCAGCCGCGGUAAUACGAAGGGUGCAAGCGUUACUCGGAAUUACUGGGCGUAAAGCGUGCGUAGGUGGUUUGUUAAGUCUGAUGUGAAAGCCCUGGGCUCAACCUGGGAAUGGCAUUGGAUACUGGCUUACUAGAGUGCGGUAGAGGGUGGCGGAAUUCCCGGUGUAGCAGUGAAAUGCGUAGAUAUCGGGAGGAACAUCCGUGGCGAAGGCGGCCACCUGGACCAGCACUGACACUGAGGCACGAAAGCGUGGGGAGCAAACAGGAUUAGAUACCCCUGUAGUC
This 300-nucleotide ribosomal RNA is filed under the name uncultured Lysobacter sp. Its description in RNAcentral is "bacterial SSU rRNA". It matches the Rfam family "Bacterial small subunit ribosomal RNA", at positions 496 to 795 of the family's 1533-position model. The record is from RNAcentral. Lineage: Bacteria; Pseudomonadati; Pseudomonadota; Gammaproteobacteria; Lysobacterales; Lysobacteraceae.